This 468-nucleotide ribosomal RNA is filed under the name uncultured bacterium. RNAcentral's name for it is "partial 16S ribosomal RNA". It matches the Rfam family "Bacterial small subunit ribosomal RNA", at positions 28 to 507 of the family's 1533-position model. The record is from RNAcentral.
GACGAACGCUGGCGGCGUGCUUAACACAUGCAAGUCGAACGGAAAGGCCCUGCUUUUGUGGGGUGCUCGAGUGGCGAACGGGUGAGUAACACGUGAGUAACCUGCCCUUGACUUUGGGAUAACUUCAGGAAACUGGGGCUAAUACCGUAUAGGAGCUCCUGCUGCAUGGUGGGGGUUGGAAAGUUUCGGCGGUUGGGGAUGGACUCGCGGCUUAUCGGCUUGUUGGUGGGGUAGUGGCUUACCAAGGCGUUGACGGGUAGCCGGCCUGAGAGGGUGACCGGCCACAUUGGGACUGAGAUACGGCACAGACGCCUACGGGAGGAAGCAGUGGGGAAUAUUGCACCAUGGGCGGAAGCCUGAUGCAGCAACGCCGCGUGCGGGAUGACGGCCUUCGGGUUGUAAAACGCUUUCGCCUGUGACGAAGCGUGAGUGACGGUAAUGGGUAAAGAAGCAACGGCUAACUACGUG